This 452-nucleotide long non-coding RNA is filed under the name Manihot esculenta (cassava). RNAcentral describes it as "long non-coding RNA (MESC_LNC007375)". The record is from RNAcentral. Lineage: Eukaryota; Viridiplantae; Streptophyta; Magnoliopsida; Malpighiales; Euphorbiaceae.
UCUCAAAAGUGCACUUCAGAAUAAAGACUCAAUAAGCCAAGCUUGUAUGAUUCAAAUAAUAAGGAAAGCAAGGAAAGACCUAAGAAGAAAAGAUAGGAAACAACACUAGAUGCAAACUGACCAAAAUGAACAAAUAGAUUGAUUUAGCACACAAAAGUUAAAUUUCGUGUACUAAGUGUAAUUAGAUGUUCAACAAUGUGCAAUUUGUCAAACUAAAUGUAAGGAACCAACAGACAGAAAGACACCAAAUUGACAAACUAAGAAUAAAAAAUUGACAAGACGGAUGUGCUUAACACGAAGUUUUCCCUAAGCAUGCAAUCCUAGGUUAACUGAUAUUAAUAUUGACUCAAUAAAAACAAUUCAAAGCAAGCAAACAAAAUAGACACUUAAAACAGCAAGUAUUAAGUACAACUGUUUUGUGAAAAUACUACCCAAAUUUGCCCUAAACCUAC